CAAAAACAUGUCUAUAUGAUUGUUAUAUAAAGUCUAGCCUGCCCACUGAUUUGUUUUAAAGGGCCGCGGUAUAUUGACCGUGCGAAGGUAGCAUAAUCAUUAGUCUUUUAAUUGGAGGCUUGUAUGAAUGGUUGGACAAAAAGUAAGCUGUCUCGGUUAUAAUAAUUGAACUUAACUUUUAAGUGAAAAGGCUUAAAUGUUUCAGGGGGACGAUAAGACCCUAUAAAGCUUGACAAUAAUUUCGUUAUAUUAUAAAUUGUUAGUAUAACUUGAUUUUAACGGGAGUUUGUUUCGUUGGGGCGACGGGAAUAUAAUAAAUAACUGUUCUUUUAAAUAUAAUUACAAAAAUACUUGGUAAAUAAUUGAUCCUCUAUUAGAGAUUAAAAGAUUAAGUUACUUUAGGGAUAACAGCGUAAUCUUCUUUGAGAGUCCACAUCGACAAGAAGGUUUGCGACCUCGAUGUUGAAUUAAGGUAUCCUUAUAAUGCAGCAGUUAUAAAGGAGGGUCUGUUCGACCUUUAAAUCCUUACAUGAUCUG
This 537-nucleotide ribosomal RNA is filed under the name Penaeus pulchricaudatus. RNAcentral's name for it is "partial large subunit ribosomal RNA". It matches the Rfam family "Bacterial large subunit ribosomal RNA", at positions 1808 to 2607 of the family's 2925-position model. Lineage: Eukaryota; Metazoa; Arthropoda; Malacostraca; Decapoda; Penaeidae. The record is from RNAcentral.